UGAUCCCUGGCUCAGAACGAACGCUGGCGGCAGGCUUAACACAUGCAAGUCGAGCGCCCCGCAAGGGGAGCGGCAGACGGGUGAGUAACACGUGGGAACGUACCCUUUACUACGGAAUAACGCAGGGAAACUUGUGCUAAUACCGUAUGUGCCCUUUUGGGGAAAGAUUUAUCGGUAAGGGAUCGGCCCGCGUUGGAUUAGCUAGUUGGUGGGGUAAAGGCCUACCAAGGCGACGAUCCAUAGCUGGUCUGAGAGGAUGAUCAGCCACAUUGGGACUGAGACACGGCCCAAACUCCUACGGGAGGCAGCAGUGGGGAAUAUUGGACAAUGGGCGCAAGCCUGAUCCAGCCAUGCCGCGUGAGUGAUGAAGGCCCUAGGGUUGUAAAGCUCUUUCACCGGAGAAGAUAAUGACGG
This 414-nucleotide ribosomal RNA is filed under the name Rhizobium sp. R2A 17-2. RNAcentral describes it as "bacterial SSU rRNA". It matches the Rfam family "Bacterial small subunit ribosomal RNA", at positions 14 to 457 of the family's 1533-position model. Lineage: Bacteria; Pseudomonadati; Pseudomonadota; Alphaproteobacteria; Hyphomicrobiales; Rhizobiaceae. The record is from RNAcentral.